RNAcentral lists this small RNA (117 nucleotides) under Marmota monax (woodchuck). Lineage: Eukaryota; Metazoa; Chordata; Mammalia; Rodentia; Sciuridae. The record is from RNAcentral.
GCUGGGUGCAGUGGCCUGUGCCUACCAUCCUAGCUGCACUGGGGGCUGAGGCAGGAGCAUCACUUGAACUCAGGAGUUUGAAGCCAGACUGGGUCACAUGGUGAGACCCCAUCUCAA